UACGUAGGGGGCGAGCGUUGUCCGGAAUUAUUGGGCGUAAAGGGCUCGUAGGCGGUUUGUCGCGUCGGGAGUGAAAACCUCGGGCUUAACUCGGGGCUUGCUUUCGAUACGGGCAGACUAGAGGUAUGCAGGGGAGAACGGAAUUCCUGGUGUAGCGGUGAAAUGCGCAGAUAUCAGGAGGAACACCGGUGGCGAAGGCAGCCAUCUGGACCGACACUGACGCUGAGGCGCGAAAGCGUGGGGAGCAAACAGG
RNAcentral lists this ribosomal RNA (253 nucleotides) under uncultured bacterium. RNAcentral describes it as "partial 16S ribosomal RNA". It matches the Rfam family "Bacterial small subunit ribosomal RNA", at positions 524 to 776 of the family's 1533-position model. The record is from RNAcentral.